GCCUGGCUAGCUCAGUCGGUAGAGCAUGAGACUCUUAAUCUCAGGGUCGUGGGUUCGAAACCCACGUUGGCCC
Molecule: transfer RNA, 73 nt
Filed under: Salmo salar (Atlantic salmon)
Lineage: Eukaryota; Metazoa; Chordata; Actinopteri; Salmoniformes; Salmonidae
Rfam family: tRNA
About the family: Transfer RNA (tRNA) molecules are approximately 80 nucleotides in length. Their secondary structure includes four short double-helical elements and three loops (D, anti-codon, and T loops).
Source: Rfam by way of RNAcentral